CCGUCAUAGUCUCCGGAUCCCAAGAGGCGGCCACCAGACCCCGGUUUCCAUCUAAGGCUACUAAGCUUAGCUGGGGUACAUAUGUAGUACUCACAUGCAUUAACAUGGUCUAGAAAGGUAAUAUUCUGCUCACCUUGGGUAUUCUGAUCUUGUGGCAACAAAGAAUUCAAAGUGUAAAUCCUAAUCUUCCUGGCAAUUCCUCCAGUAGCUACAACUGUAUUAGAAGGGUCGAAUUCGAUGACGCCUAGGGUGUCAGAGACUGCUGCCUCGGCGCUGGUAGAGACGACGGUGGAGAGAGAAAAAUCCCACUCACAGCGAGCUCUUUCCUGGUCUUCUUCUCCCUCUGGUUU
This 350-nucleotide long non-coding RNA is filed under the name Theobroma cacao (cacao). RNAcentral describes it as "long non-coding RNA (TCAC_LNC001596)". The record is from RNAcentral. Lineage: Eukaryota; Viridiplantae; Streptophyta; Magnoliopsida; Malvales; Malvaceae.